RNAcentral lists this ribosomal RNA (468 nucleotides) under uncultured bacterium. RNAcentral describes it as "partial 16S ribosomal RNA". It matches the Rfam family "Bacterial small subunit ribosomal RNA", at positions 28 to 507 of the family's 1533-position model. The record is from RNAcentral.
GACGAACGCUGGCGGCGUGCUUAACACAUGCAAGUCGAACGGAAAGGCCCUGCUUUUGUGGGGUGCUCGAGUGGCGAACGGGUGAGUAACACGUGAGUAACCUGCCCUUGACUUUGGGAUAACUUCAGGAAACUGGGGCUAAUACCGGAUAGGAGCUCCUGCUGCAUGGUGGGGGUUGGAAAGUUUCGGCUGUUGGGGAUGGACUCGCGGCUUAUCAGCUUGUUGGUGGGGUAGUGGCUUACCAAGGCUUUGACGGGUAGCCGGCCUGAGAGGGUGACCGGCCACAUGGGGACUGAGAUACGGCCCAGACUGCUACGGGAGGCAGCAGUGGGGAAUAUUGCACAAUGGGCGGAAGCCUGAUGCAGCAACGCCGCGUGCGGGAUGACGGCCUUCGGGUUGUAAACCGAUUUCGCCUGUGACGAAGCGUGAGUGACGGUAAUGGGUAAAGAAGCACCGGCUAACUACGUG